CUUCUACAGCUCCUCUGGCUACAACUACAGCUGCACUUACAACAAUUACAGCCUCUUUUACGACAACUUCAGCUGCUCCAAUCACCAAUACCGCUGGUCUGACCUCAUCUACAACUGUGGAGCGAUCAGUGCUAAGGGUGCUGACUUUUAGGUCUCCUGGAGAGACCUUUACAAUUGAUUUGCUCAACCCAUCUUCAACAGCAUUCGUAAACCGAGCCGCACUUUUAAAGUCUAAGCUUGAACCUUUAUACAGUGGAUCAUUUUCUUCAUUCCGCGAAUUAACAGUGAUUUCAUUCAGCAAUGGGUCAAUCAUCAACAACAUGAUUCUCCGAUUUGCAUCUACAUCUGUUCCUAAUGGCUCCCAAAUUGCACAAGUUUUGAUCAACGCAGCUUCAGACAUCACUGCCUUCACCAUUGACACCACUAGUCUUUCGGUGGAUGGAUCACAAGCAUCAAGUGGAGUGAGCCACAAGAUCAGUGUCAUCACAGCCUUCUGCAUGGUUUUGUUGUCCUGGUUGUUGUCCAGCCAGCACUAACAUCUCUGUUGAUUUCUAGUGGAUAUUGUGUAUAAAAAAGGU
RNA transcript from Fundulus heteroclitus (mummichog), 578 nucleotides. RefSeq lists it as uncharacterized. The transcript is spliced from 4 exons. Lineage: Eukaryota; Metazoa; Chordata; Actinopteri; Cyprinodontiformes; Fundulidae. The record is from RefSeq and is a predicted model, not a curated record.